Molecule: unclassified non-coding RNA, 152 nt
Filed under: uncultured fungus
Lineage: Eukaryota; Fungi
Description: sequence contains ITS1
Source: RNAcentral
GUGUGUGUGUUUGUGCACCGCAUGACGCGGCGUAUAACAUUCGCUUGACGUUGUUUAGAUGCGACGAUUCACAGGAACGACGAUAAUAAAAAGGGCACGGCGUGCCCCCUUUUCUUUCAUUAGUGAUCCUUCCGCAGGUUCACCUACGGAAA